GAAUUUAAGCAUAUCACUAAGCGGAGGAAAAGAAACUAACCAGGAUUCCCCUAGUAACGGCGAGUGAAGAGGGAUUAGCCCAGCACCGAAGCCUGCGGCAGUUUUGCUGUUAGGCAAUGUGGUGUUUGGGUCGGCUCGUGGGAUUGCCACUCCAUUCGAAGUCCAGCAUUGAGUAUGGUCACUGGAUUUGGCCCAGAGAGGGUGAAAGGCCCGUACGAAUGGAGGUUCAGACAAGUAAGGCAGUUCACCAGGCCGGCCUUAGAGUCGGGUUGUUUGAGAAUGCAGCCCAAAGUGGGUGGUAAACUCCAUCCAAGGCUAAAUACUAGCACGAGUCCGAUAGCGAACAAGUACCGUGAGGGAAAGUUGAAAAGUACUUUGAAGAGAGAGUAAACAGUACGUGAAACCGCAUGCAGGUAAACGGGUGGCGUCAAGCUGCAAGCCCGGAGGAUUCAGCUGGCUAGGAUGUUGUAUAUGCGCCUGGCGCAUCUAUCAGUCGGAGUAGGAUGUGUUAGUCCACUGGGAUACGGUGGGCCCGGCCGCAAGGUUGGGAUAUGUGUACCGGGUGUUUGCCGGAGCAUGCUAUCCAUCUGUUGGACUGUCUAGUCAGUGCACUUUCUCUGUGGUGAACACCACGACCGGUGGUAUUGCCAGUCUGCUGUAGCCAAGUCGUAUUCAGUGGGUUCUUGUAAUCAACUGGGUGCGAUCACAGGCAAACUCAGUAAACGGCGUAGGGGUGUUUCGGCAUCUCUGCGUGUUAUCGGCUACUGGUUGUCAACGGGCCUGCCUGAUGAUUGUUGUAAUCGUCGUCGGGUGGUCUGGUGGGUUAUGGUGGUAUGAAUAACUGUGCAAGGCACCGGAGUUCUCGGCCUCAAAUGCAUCCUGCGCACACAUUACAAGUGGAGCGGGGUGCCAUUGUAGCCUGCCUAAUGUUGGGUCUGAUUGUCGUGUCGCCUGCGAAAAGUGGGCCCGGCAGUGGCCUGAUGUGGGAUGGGUUGCGGAUGGUGCCUCCUGUGUAGGGUGCUGUUGGCCAAAUAGUCAGUGGUGUAGUGGUAGACGAGCUACCCGACCCGUCUUGAAACACGGACCAAGGAGUUUAACAUGUAUGCAAGUCAAAGGGCCCUACGAAACCCCAAGGCGCAGUGAAAGUAAAGCUUCGACCUGUUCUCGGAGUGAGGUGAGAUCCUGCCGUUACUCGCAUCAGCCUUAUGUCAGCAUCAGGCUAAGAGCGGUGGGCGCAUCACCGGCCCGUCCCAUGAUGUGGUCAUUGGAUUUCUGUAGUCGUUGCUUGCAGCGGCUGUGGAGCCAGUGCGUCAUCGGGGCGGAGCAUGAGCAUACAUGUUGAGACCCGAAAGAUGGUGAACUAUGCUUGCGUAGGUUGAAGCCAGAGGAAACUCUGGUGGAGGACCGCAGCGAUUCUGACGUGCAAAUCGAUCGUCAAACGUGAGUAUAGGGGCGAAAGACUAAUCGAACCAUCUAGUAGCUGGUUCCCUCCGAAGUUUCCCUCAGGAUAGCUGGCGCUCAUUCGCAUGAUCAGUUUUAUCCGGUAAAGCGAAUGAUUAGAGGUACUGGGUUCGAAACGAGCUCAACCUAUUCUCAAACUUUAAAUGGGUGAGAUGCCCGGCUCGCCUAAUAGGAGUCGGGCGUUGAAUGUGUGAGUGCCAAGUGGGCCAUUUUUGGUAAGCAGAACUGGCGCUGUGGGAUGAACCAAACGCUCGGUUAAGGUGCCUAACGCGACGCUCAUGAGAUACCACAAAAGGUGUUGGUUAAUAUAGACAGCAGGACGGUGGCCAUGGAAGUCGGCAUCCGCUAAGGAGUGUGUA
This 1820-nucleotide ribosomal RNA is filed under the name Phyllobothriidea gen n. sp. 2 HR-2018. Its description in RNAcentral is "LSU rRNA". It matches the Rfam family "Eukaryotic large subunit ribosomal RNA", at positions 30 to 1284 of the family's 3401-position model. Lineage: Eukaryota; Metazoa; Platyhelminthes; Cestoda; Phyllobothriidea. The record is from RNAcentral.